AUGCAGCCCAAGAUGGGUAAUAUGGAUAUGGAUUAUCAGGUUUUUCAUAAUGCAUUUUUCAAAUAUCAAACAAAACCCAAGUUCACUAGUCAUGGUGAUCUGCAUUAUGAAGGGAAAGAGCUUGAGCUGAAACUUAAGAUAAUGAAACCAGGUAUGCUGUCCCAGGAGCUUAAGAAAGCUCUUGGUAUGCCUGAUGAUGCCCUGCCCUCAUGGCUUACCAGGUUGCAGUUCUUUGGUCGUCCAACCUCUUAUCCUUAUCUGAAGAUCCCAGGUUUAAAUGCCCCAAUCUCUCGUGGGGACAGUUUUGGUGAUGGACCCGAUGAGGAAGAACCUCUCAAUCGCAGCAAACACUGGGUAGAUUCAGAAGACGAAGAGGAUGAAGAGGAAGAAGAGGAGGAACUAAUUAUUCAUGCGGAAAUAGAAGAAGGCAUUCGGUCUGUUGACACCAUCUCAAGUACUCCAGCUGCUGUGGAAACACCUGAUGUUAUCGACCUUCGAAGCUGCAGAGGAAGGAUGCAGAUAACCAGCCAGGUACGUGCUGGUGGCAGCUCAAGAUAA
RNAcentral lists this ribosomal RNA (558 nucleotides) under Triticum aestivum (bread wheat). RNAcentral describes it as "partial small subunit ribosomal RNA". Lineage: Eukaryota; Viridiplantae; Streptophyta; Magnoliopsida; Poales; Poaceae. The record is from RNAcentral.